GGCCUCAGCUGAGAUACUCCUUAGAAUGCGGUAUGUUUUCUAGUUUCAGCGGGAAUUGAACCGUUUGUUUGUCGUGAAAUUGUCUUGUCCGAAUUGCGAGUUCCAAUCAUUUUACCGAUGGUAUCAGCGCUCCUCAGUUGUAAAGAUCAUAUGUAGAUGUCAUACUGAUCCUACAAAAGGCGAUAAUUAAGGCUUAGACAGGACACCGGUAACAGGAGCCGUAUAGAAUUUUGGCAGCUGAUAUCAUGGGAUCAUUGCACCAGAGCUGUGCUGAUUCCUAUCCUGAAGAACCGACGAACUGCAGUGGGCCAAGAAUUUAACACAAAUGUUUCCUGACAGAUUCCAUCAGAUGGCCCCUACCAUGCUUGGAUUCGUAAUCGUAACAUUUCGGUGGGCCAAGCCAAAGCCAGUCGACCAGCUACUCAAUGAUGAAUUGAUGAUUAUGAGUCAGGGAGCACUAGAGCAUUGGCGUCUUUCUCGUCUCGAAGACACAAGAAAAAUCAAUAGAAUACACAUGACCAAUAAAUUCAACAGAAAAUGUUUCCUUCGGGGCAAUUGUCAUUACACAGUUUUGAUGCAAGAUAUCUAUCCACAUUCUUCUCGACGGAAUUUUCCCAGGUAAUGGAUUCAAAAAUCAAUAGAAUACACAUGCCUCUC
Molecule: long non-coding RNA, 657 nt
Organism: Brachypodium distachyon (stiff brome)
Lineage: Eukaryota; Viridiplantae; Streptophyta; Magnoliopsida; Poales; Poaceae
Exons: 2
Source: RefSeq, a predicted model, not a curated record